Molecule: long non-coding RNA, 1042 nt
Filed under: Castor canadensis (American beaver)
Lineage: Eukaryota; Metazoa; Chordata; Mammalia; Rodentia; Castoridae
Description: lncRNA (ENSCCNG00000020587.1)
Source: RNAcentral
CCGGGCGCCACGCGGCUGCGGGCCAGGAAGGUCGACCGCCUCCGACAAGGCGGAUCCUCGCAGGAACUGAAGAUCCUAACUGCCAACAGAGACUGGUCUUUUUGUCGGAAAGAUAAACGGAAGGGACCGGAAGUGAGGAACAGGAAGAGACUGUGGAGAACCGAGAGCGGAAAGAAAUGGCAAAAGGACCUUGAGCUGGAAGACCAUUACAGAUUAUCUAGCAGUGUAUCACAAAGAUCCGCCUCGAAGAGGUGAUCAAGGCCAGAGUCAGAGAUGUGACUAUGAUAUGUGAGCCAAGGAAUGAAGACAGCCUCUGGCUGCUGGAAAAGGUAAGGAAAAUAUUCUUCUCUUGAGCUUCCACAAGGAAAGCAAUCUGCCAACACUUUCCAUUUCAUAAUACCCACUUAAACUUGACUCCCAGCACUUUAAGCUUGUACUGUUUUAAGCCACAAGGCUUGUGGUCAUUUGUUACAGCAGCAAUAUGAUUCUGAUACCUAGGAAUGGAGUGCUGCUGUAACAAAUAACUAAAAGUGGAGGAGGGGCUUUGAAAUUGGGCUAUGGGCAGAAGCUAAGGAAUCCUGAUGACAAAGCCUAAAAUGAUCUAUCCAGAUUGUCAGAUGAAAAACAGAUGUUAUCAACCCUGCUAGUGAGGACUCAGAAGGAAAUGAAGAGCACAAGAGAGAGAGCUUGGUCUCAGAAGAUGCUGAGACCAUCAUAAAAACUCUAAAUGAGAUGUGGACAGUAAGAGAUAUUCUGGCAAGGACUCAAGGAACUUGAGAAACAUUCAUUGGAUUUUUUUUUUUUUUUUGAGAUAUAAUCUACAUAGCUCAGGGUAGCCUAGAACUCUUGAUCCUCCUUCCUCAGACUCCCAAGUGCUGCUGGGAUUAGACCUGAGAAGCGACACACAGCAAGGAACAUGUUACUGGAAACUGGAAAGGGGAUCCUUAAAUAAUAGCAGAAACUUAAGCUGGCCUGUGUCCUACUAGUUAUGUGAGAAACAGAACUUAUACACAAAACUGGAUAUUAAACUCAAGUUUCCUGG